Molecule: ribosomal RNA, 235 nt
Filed under: uncultured bacterium
Lineage: Bacteria
Description: partial small subunit ribosomal RNA
Rfam family: Bacterial small subunit ribosomal RNA
Source: RNAcentral
AGAGCGAACGCUGGCGGCAGGCUUAACACAUGCAAGUCGAACGGACUCUUCGGAGUUAGUGGCGGACGGGUGAGUAACACGUGGGAACGUGCCUUUAGGUUCGGAACAACACAGGGAAACUUGUGCUAAUACCGGAUAAGCCUUUCGAGGGAAAGAUUUUAUCGCCUUUAGAGCGGCCCGCGUCUGAUUAGCUAGUUGGUGAGGUAAAGGCUCACCAAGGCUACGAUCAGUAGCU